GCGCCCUUAGCUCAGCUGGAUAGAGCACGUCCCUUCUAAGGAUGUGGUCGUAGGUUCGAAUCCUACAGGGCGUGCCA
This 77-nucleotide transfer RNA is filed under the name Campylobacter jejuni. RNAcentral describes it as "tRNA-Arg". It matches the Rfam family "tRNA". Rfam says of the family: Transfer RNA (tRNA) molecules are approximately 80 nucleotides in length. Their secondary structure includes four short double-helical elements and three loops (D, anti-codon, and T loops). Further hydrogen bonds mediate the characteristic L-shaped molecular structure. tRNAs have two regions of fundamental functional importance: the anti-codon, which is responsible for specific mRNA codon recognition, and the 3' end, to which the tRNAs corresponding amino acid is attached (by aminoacyl-tRNA synthetases). tRNAs cope with the degeneracy of the genetic code in two manners: having more than one tRNA (with a specific anti-codon) for a particular amino acid; and 'wobble' base-pairing, i.e. permitting non-standard base-pairing at the 3rd anti-codon position. RNAcentral also lists the same sequence under 154 other names. Lineage: Bacteria; Pseudomonadati; Campylobacterota; Epsilonproteobacteria; Campylobacterales; Campylobacteraceae. The record is from RNAcentral.